GAUUGAUACUAAGCCAUGCGAGUCUUUGUAGUAAUACAAGGCAGGCGGCUCAGUAACACGUAGUCAACCUACCCUAUGGACAAGAAUAAUCUCGGGAAACUGGGCAUAAUUCUUGAUAGAUCAUAAUGCCUGGAAUGGUUUAUGGUUAAAAUGAUUCGUCGCCAUAGGAUGGGACUGCGGCCUAUCAGCUUGUUGGUGAGGUAAUGGCCCACCAAGGCGAUUACAGGUACGGGCUCUGAGAGGAGAAGCCCGGAGAUGGGUACUGAGACACGGACCCAGGCCCUAUGGGGCGCAGCAGGCGAGAAAACUUUGCAAUGUGCGAAAGCACGACAAGGUUAAUCCGAGUGAUUUCUGCUAAAGAAAUCUUUUGCCAGUCAUAAAACCACUGGUGAAUAAGGGGUGGGCAAGUUCUGGUGUCAGCCGCCGCGGUAAAACCAGCACCUCAAGUGGUCAGGAUGAUUAUUGGGCCUAAAGCAUCCGUAGCCGGCUUUGUUAGUUUUCGGUUAAAUCCAUGUGCUCAACGCAUGGGCCGCCGAAAAUACUGCAUAGCUAGGGAGUGGGAGAGGUAGACGGUACUCAGUAGGAAGGGGUAAAAUCCUUUGAUCUAUUGAUGACCACCUGUGGCGAAGGCGGUCUACCAGAACACGUUCGACGGUGAGGGAUGAAAGCUGGGGGAGCAAACCGGAUUAGAUACCCGGGUAGUCCCAGCUGUAAACGAUGCAGACUCGAUGAUGCAUUGGCAUAAUAGCCAGUGCAGUGUCGCAGGGAAGCCGUUAAGUUUGCCGCCUGGGAAGUACGUACGCAAGUAUGAAACUU
RNAcentral lists this ribosomal RNA (816 nucleotides) under uncultured marine group I thaumarchaeote. RNAcentral's name for it is "SSU rRNA". It matches the Rfam family "Archaeal small subunit ribosomal RNA", at positions 36 to 857 of the family's 1478-position model. Lineage: Archaea; Thermoproteati; Nitrososphaerota. The record is from RNAcentral.